Molecule: signal recognition particle RNA, 260 nt
Filed under: bovine gut metagenome
Description: Bacterial large signal recognition particle RNA
Rfam family: Bacterial large signal recognition particle RNA
About the family: The signal recognition particle (SRP) is a universally conserved ribonucleoprotein involved in the co-translational targeting of proteins to membranes. Archaeal SRP consists of a 7S RNA and homologues of the eukaryotic SRP19 and SRP54 proteins.
Source: RNAcentral
GCAGCCGGGGCAUUAGCGGGGCCCUGUAACCUGCAGUCCGCUACAGCAGGGGCCAUGCCGAUCCGAGGGCCAGUCUUUAUGGAGCUGCCCUUCUUAAGUGGCGUUGACGUCUGGGUCUCAUGCGGCGGAAACCUGUGAACCGUGUCAGGGCAGGAAUGCAGCAGCACUAAGCAGGAGCUUCCGGGUGACGUGAGGGUGCCUGGGCUGAGCAGGCUGGGGAGGUAACGUCUGUGGGGCCUGGUUCGGAGUGAGGCGCACGG